RNAcentral lists this long non-coding RNA (588 nucleotides) under Equus asinus (donkey). RNAcentral describes it as "lncRNA (ENSEASG00005034355.1)". Lineage: Eukaryota; Metazoa; Chordata; Mammalia; Perissodactyla; Equidae. The record is from RNAcentral.
GCUCUGCACCAGCAGCGACGGCACCAGCACGAAGAAGAGGGUCAGCCCGAAGUAGCCGUAGUCCCCCUUGCGGUAGUAGUCGAGGGCCAGCCACAGGAGAUCUACUUUGUGUUUAAAUCACAGCUCUGUCGUUAACCAGCUAUAGGAUUUGGAGGAAGGAACUGUGACUUGAUUCUAACCCAUAGAAUACGGCAAAGGCAACGUCAUGUCGCUCUCCUGGAUUACACUGCAUUAGAUAAGACUCUAUCAUAGCAGUCUGGAGCUGAAGACUCUCUUUGUGGGCUGGAUGAAGCCAGCAGCCGCGUUGGAGGAGCCCAGGUGACAAGGUGACCUCUAGAACUGGGAACCCACCUCCUAACAACAGCAAGAAGCUGGGACCCUCAGUAAUAUAACCCCAAGGAAAUGAUUUCUACCAACUUGAAUGACCUGGGUAGCAGAUUCUUCCCCAGCUGAGCCUCCAAAUGAGAAUGUGUCCCAGCCAACAGCUUGAUUAUAGGAGUGUGAGAGCCGAGCAGAGGACCCAGCCAAGCUGUGCCUGAACUCCUGCCCAACAGAAACUGUGAGAUAAUAAAUAUGUGUUGUUUUAAG